GCGCCCGUAGCUCAGGGGAUAGAGUGUUAGGUUGCGGACCUAAAGGUCGGUGGUUCGAAUCCACCCGGGCGUACCA
This 76-nucleotide transfer RNA is filed under the name bacterium. RNAcentral's name for it is "tRNA-Arg". It matches the Rfam family "tRNA". From Rfam's summary of the family: Transfer RNA (tRNA) molecules are approximately 80 nucleotides in length. The record is from RNAcentral. RNAcentral also lists the same sequence under 3 other names.